Molecule: long non-coding RNA, 2058 nt
Organism: Rosa rugosa (rugosa rose)
Lineage: Eukaryota; Viridiplantae; Streptophyta; Magnoliopsida; Rosales; Rosaceae
Exons: 2
Source: RefSeq, a predicted model, not a curated record
UGGAGCUGCUUCGGGGAAAAACACGGAGCAACAGUAGAAACUUAAUGAAAUUUGUUAAACUACCAAUUUUGUCCUCCUCCUUUCCGGAAAAUUACAUUGAAACAAAUAGGGUUCAGCUUUGAUCUUCAUCCCCUCUUUGCCGUCAAAACUACAUUGCAACAUCUGUUGCUCAUCGAACUUCUCCUCCUUCUCUCUCUGCAAAUUGUUGUGCUUGAAAUUCCGGGGCAAGAUAAGCCUCGCAAACUCCACAGGGUCCCAAACCACGAAGCUUCUUCCAGUAGAACCCCACGAUAUGAUCAAAUCCAGCGACGGGUCGUCCACCAAAUCAAAUGUCUUUGCACAAAAACGGCGGCACCGGAGUCUCCUGCAGACACUGAAGCGGCUGCGGCACUCCAAUUUGGGAUAUGAAGUAUAUAGGUUUAAACCUCUUUAGUUUGGGAUAUGAAGUAUAAAGGUUUAAACCUCUUUAGUUAUGCAGUCACUCCAAUUAUAUGUAGAGUUUGGCAGAGAGUGAACACUGCAAACUCUUGAAAGGUCGCCCAUUUCAGUUUCAGGUUGAACUCGCCUAGCACAUUUAUAAUGGAUUUGGAAGUUUUGGGAUUGUUUGCUUGUUUCUGGGUUAUUAGUAUUUACGUUAGGAAAGAUUUUAGAAUCAGAAGUGAUGAAGUUAGUGCUCGUAAAGUAGAUUCUUCUAAUAUUGGCAAAGUAGAGAGAUAUGUAUGAUUCAGUAUAUGGUGGUGGUAGAAUGGACCUAAAAUACUUAUUCAUUUGAUCUGUUUACCAAUCUACCUGUACAUGUUUAUUGCAUUACCAUGGCUAAUAAUAAACUACAGCAUACCUACUAGGCUAAGUAGGCAUCCUGUAUCAGUUGCAUGAGUUAGCCAUUAUAGUUUUUCUUUAAUCCUAUAUAUUGUAAUAGUUUCUUCCCUGACUGUAGCAAGUUCGUACCAUCUUCCGCAGGAUCCUAAUUCAAAGCAUCUAGGAACUAUGGUUUGGGAUGCAUCACUGGUAUUCGCCAAGUUUCUGGCAAUGACUGUAACACUCUAGAGACUCUUGUAAAGUUCCCAUGAUUUUAGCUUUCACAUGUUGCUAUGUUCUUCUGGUGUAUGAAUCGUGUAGGUUUACGGUUUGAGUUGAAACUUUAUGGGUCCAUUUGAGUCCAAUAUUUGGAUGACGAACGAAGAGCAAGAUGUACUCAUCCUUGAAAUAGAUCUAUUAUGCAUUGAUGACUUUGAAUGUGAUUACCAGAACAUAAAAGCUAUAAAGUCUUUACAAGUUAGGUCAUAAAAGUCUCAGAAUUAUUGUUCUCAUUAGACAAUCUACAAUUCUUUCUACAAGGUUGAUGUACUUAAUAACAAACAUAUAGUAACAUAAAACAAUGACAAACAUAUUUUGUAAGUAAAUAAUCAGAAAUAUUUUGCUUCCUAGGAAUUAUUAAGGUUAUUCAGUUCACUAGUUUGGGGGCAAAAGGUAACAGUCAUACUUCUUUGAAAUUCAGAUUGGGGAUCCUGUUUGGAUUGACAGAGCUAUGUAUGCGCUGAAGAAGUCGGAUGGGAUUAUGGAGGAGGUGACCGAGGAGGAGUUGAUGGAUGCCCAAGUGGAUUCUACUGGCAUGUUUAUAUUUCCUCACACUGGUGUGGUGCUGGCGGCGUUGAUUAAGCUCCAGAUUUGGCCUGCCGGUUUGCCAACCCACCGGUUCAAGUGGGGCUGAUUUUGGGUCGAUAUGGAUGUUUUGAAGAAAUACUUGAGUAAUUCAGAGGCUCCAAAGCAUUAGUUUUGUAGAGGGCAUUGUGAGUGUGUUCUGCUCUACUGCUUCAUGUACUCUAAAUUUUAUUCGUUAUUUUUGCUUAAAGCGUUUAGGCAUUGGUAUUGUUCUCUGUGCGCUUUUUACUUUGGUGAUUCAAUGUAGGAUGAGGAACUGUUUUAGCUUGUAGUGCUCAGAAUAUGGUGGAGAAGGGAGUCAUUUAUAAGGCAGCAUUGCCAAAUUUUGUGUAUGAGUUCAUUAUCAUAUGAAUUUCACCACAUUUUUCCUUAUAACAAGUUUUCUUUAGCUUCCAA